RNAcentral lists this transfer RNA (67 nucleotides) under Bradyrhizobium sp. OAE829. RNAcentral describes it as "tRNA-Lys". The record is from RNAcentral. Lineage: Bacteria; Pseudomonadati; Pseudomonadota; Alphaproteobacteria; Hyphomicrobiales; Nitrobacteraceae.
ACCUGACUGGAGAUGGAGCGGCCUUUUAAGCCGUGCGCAAGUGGUUCGAAACCACCCGGAUCCUCCA